UUAAGCGACUAAGCGUACACGGUGGAUGCCCUGGCAGUCAGAGGCGAUGAAGGACGUGCUAAUCUGCGAUAAGCGUCGGUAAGGUGAUAUGAACCGUUAUAACCGGCGAUUUCCGAAUGGGGAAACCCAGUGUGUUUCGACACACUAUCAUUAACUGAAUCCAUAGGUUAAUGAGGCGAACCGGGGGAACUGAAACAUCUAAGUACCCCGAGGAAAAGAAAUCAACCGAGAUUCCCCCAGUAGCGGCGAGCGAACGGGGAGGAGCCCAGAGCCUGAAUCAGUGUGUGUGUUAGUGGAAGCGUCUGGAAAGGCGCGCGAUACAGGGUGACAGCCCCGUACACAAAAAUGCACAUACUGUGAGCUCGAUGAGUAGGGCGGGACACGUGGUAUCCUGUCUGAAUAUGGGGGGACCAUCCUCCAAGGCUAAAUACUCCUGACUGACCGAUAGUGAACCAGUACCGUGAGGGAAAGGCGAAAAGAACCCCGGCGAGGGGAGUGAAAAAGAACCUGAAACCGUGUACGUACAAGCAGUGGGAGCCUCUUUUAUGGGGUGACUGCGUACCUUUUGUAUAAUGGGUCAGCGACUUAUAUUCUGUAGCAAGGUUAACCGAAUAGGGGAGCCGAAGGGAAACCGAGUCUUAACUGGGCGUUAAGUUGCAGGGUAUAGACCCGAAACCCGGUGAUCUAGCCAUGGGCAGGUUGAAGGUUGGGUAACACUAACUGGAGGACCGAACCGACUAAUGUUGAAAAAUUAGCGGAUGACUUGUGGCUGGGGGUGAAAGGCCAAUCAAACCGGGAGAUAGCUGGUUCUCCCCGAAAGCUAUUUAGGUAGCGCCUCGUGAAUUCAUCUCCGGGGGUAGAGCACUGUUUCGGCAAGGGGGUCAUCCCGACUUACCAACCCGAUGCAAACUGCGAAUACCGGAGAAUGUUAUCACGGGAGACACACGGCGGGUGCUAACGUCCGUCGUGAAGAGGGAAACAACCCAGACCGCCAGCUAAGGUCCCAAAGUCAUGGUUAAGUGGGAAACGAUGUGGGAAGGCCCAGACAGCCAGGAUGUUGGCUUAGAAGCAGCCAUCAUUUAAAGAAAGCGUAAUAGCUCACUGGUCGAGUCGGCCUGCGCGGAAGAUGUAACGGGGCUAAACCAUGCACCGAAGCUGCGGCAGCGACGCUUAUGCGUUGUUGGGUAGGGGAGCGUUCUGUAAGCCUGUGAAGGUGUGCUGUGAGGCAUGCUGGAGGUAUCAGAAGUGCGAAUGCUGACAUAAGUAACGAUAAAGCGGGUGAAAAGCCCGCUCGCCGGAAGACCAAGGGUUCCUGUCCAACGUUAAUCGGGGCAGGGUGAGUCGACCCCUAAGGCGAGGCCGAAAGGCGUAGUCGAUGGGAAACAGGUUAAUAUUCCUGUACUUGGUGUUACUGCGAAGGGGGGACGGAGAAGGCUAUGUUGGCCGGGCGACGGUUGUCCCGGUUUAAGCGUGUAGGCUGGUUUUCCAGGCAAAUCCGGAAAAUCAAGGCUGAGGCGUGAUGACGAGGCACUACGGUGCUGAAGCAACAAAUGCCCUGCUUCCAGGAAAAGCCUCUAAGCAUCAGGUAACAUCAAAUCGUACCCCAAACCGACACAGGUGGUCAGGUAGAGAAUACCAAGGCGCUUGAGAGAACUCGGGUGAAGGAACUAGGCAAAAUGGUGCCGUAACUUCGGGAGAAGGCACGCUGAUAUGUAGGUGAAGUCCCUUGCGGAUGGAGCUGAAAUCAGUCGAAGAUACCAGCUGGCUGCAACUGUUUAUUAAAAACACAGCACUGUGCAAACACGAAAGUGGACGUAUACGGUGUGACGCCUGCCCGGUGCCGGAAGGUUAAUUGAUGGGGUCAGCGCAAGCGAAGCUCUUGAUCGAAGCCCCGGUAAACGGCGGCCGUAACUAUAACGGUCCUAAGGUAGCGAAAUUCCUUGUCGGGUAAGUUCCGACCUGCACGAAUGGCGUAAUGAUGGCCAGGCUGUCUCCACCCGAGACUCAGUGAAAUUGAACUCGCUGUGAAGAUGCAGUGUACCCGCGGCAAGACGGAAAGACCCCGUGAACCUUUACUAUAGCUUGACACUGAACAUUGAGCCUUGAUGUGUAGGAUAGGUGGGAGGCUU
This 2129-nucleotide ribosomal RNA is filed under the name Escherichia coli. Its description in RNAcentral is "bacterial LSU rRNA". It matches the Rfam family "Bacterial large subunit ribosomal RNA", at positions 1 to 2157 of the family's 2925-position model. The record is from RNAcentral. Lineage: Bacteria; Pseudomonadati; Pseudomonadota; Gammaproteobacteria; Enterobacterales; Enterobacteriaceae.